GGGUCUCGCUCGUUACCUGACUUAACAGGAUGCUUCACAGUACGAACUGACGACGGCCAUGCACCACCUCUCAGCUAAUCCGGCAAAGUCUUCAGCCUGGCCUUCAUAUUGCUGUCGGUCCCGGUAAGAUUUCCGGCGUUGAAUCCAAUUAAACCGCAAGCUCCACCCGUUGUGGUGCUCCCCCGCCAAUUCCUUUAAGUUUCAGCCUUGCGGCCGUACUUCCCAGGUGGCUCGCUUCACGGCUUCCCUACGGCACCGACAACGGUCGCACCGUGGCCGACACCUAGCGAGUAUCGUUUACGGCUAGGACUACCCGGGUAUCUAAUCCGGUUCGUGCCCCUAGCUUUCGUCCCUUGCCGUCAGGUCCGUUCUGGUGAGACGCCUUCGCCACUGGUGGUCCUUCAAGGAUUACAAGAUUUCACCCCUACCCCUGAAGUACCUCUCACCUCUCCCGGCCUCGAGCCAGACAGUAUCUCCUGAAAGCCUGACAGUUAAGCUGCCAGAUUUCUCAAGAGACUUAUCCGGCCGGCUACAGACCCUUUAGACCCAAUAAUAACGGUUACCACUCGAGCCGCCGGUGUUACCGCGGCGGCUGGCACCGGUCUUGCCCGGCCCUUGCUAUGAAAUGCUUUUUUAGGCAUCUCGACAGCCGGAUUUGUAACCUGGCACUCGAGGUUCCCUUAUCGCUGUUGCCAGCAUUGUA
This 703-nucleotide ribosomal RNA is filed under the name unidentified archaeon. Its description in RNAcentral is "partial 16S ribosomal RNA". The record is from RNAcentral.